AACGCGUAGGUAACCUGCCUGGUAGCGGGGCAUAACUAUUGGAAACGAUAGCUAAUACCGCAUAAGAGUAGAUGUUGCAUGACAUUUGCUUAAAAGGUGCAAUUGCAUCACUACCAGAUGGACCUGCGUUGUAUUAGCUAGUUGGUGGGGUAACGGCUCACCAAGGCGACGAUACAUAGCCGACCUGAGAGGGUGAUCGGCCACACUGGGACUGAGACACGGCCCAGACUCCUACGGGAGGCAGCAGUAGGGAAUCUUCGGCAAUGGACGGAAGUCUGACCGAGCAACGCCGCGUGAGUGAAGAAGGUUUUCGGAUCGUAAAGCUCUGUUGUAAGAGAAGAACGAGUGUGAGAGUGGAAAGUUCACACUGUGACGGUAUCUUACCAGAAAGGGACGGCUAACUACGUGCCAGCAGCCGCGGUAAUACGUAGGUCCCGAGCGUUGUCCGGAUUUAUUGGGCGUAAAGCGAGCGCAGGCGGUUAGAUAAGUCUGAAGUUAAAGGCUGUGGCUUAACCAUAGUACGCUUUGGAAACUGUUUAACUUGAGUGCAAGAGGGGAGAGUGGAAUUCCAUGUGUAGCGGUGAAAUGCGUAGAUAUAUGGAGGAACACCGGUGGCGAAAGCGGCUCUCUGGCUUGUAACUGACGCUGAGGCUCGAAAGCGUGNGGAGCAAACAGGAUUAGAUACCCUGGUAGUCCACGCCGUAAACGAUGAGUGCUAG
RNAcentral lists this ribosomal RNA (719 nucleotides) under uncultured bacterium. Its description in RNAcentral is "bacterial SSU rRNA". It matches the Rfam family "Bacterial small subunit ribosomal RNA", at positions 112 to 819 of the family's 1533-position model. The record is from RNAcentral.